This 1274-nucleotide ribosomal RNA is filed under the name Saccharomyces cerevisiae YJM269. Its description in RNAcentral is "eukaryotic LSU rRNA". It matches the Rfam family "Eukaryotic large subunit ribosomal RNA", at positions 1621 to 2884 of the family's 3401-position model. The record is from RNAcentral. Lineage: Eukaryota; Fungi; Ascomycota; Saccharomycetes; Saccharomycetales; Saccharomycetaceae.
GAACAUGGAAUUGGAUACUUCACGGGUAACGUAAUGGAUGUAGAAGACGUCGGGCGCCGAGCUCUGGGGAGGGAGUUAUCUUUUCAUUCUAACAGCUUAUCACCCCCGGAAAUUGGUUUAAUCUCGGAGAUGGGGGUUUUAAGGGUGGAAGAGGCCAGCACCUUUGCUGGCUCCGGUGCUCUCCACCCCGGCCCGAGAAAAUCCACAGGAAGGAAUAGUUAUCAUGUCAUGUUGUAUAACUAACCGCAGCAGGUCUUCAACGAGAACAGCCUUUUUCCAGAUAGAAUAUCCAGAUAAUGGGGAUGGGCAAAAUAGAUCUAUGACUUCGGGCUAAGGAUUGGCUCUAAGUGUCGGGUAGAGAGGACAAUGGUCAGACGCAGCGGGAGUGAUUGUGGACUGCUUGGUGGGGCUGCUAUGCUAGGCGGAGUACUUGCGUGUUCAUGUGUAGACGGCCUUGGUAGGUCUUUUGUAGACCGUCGCUGCUACAAUUAACGAUCAAGUUAGAACUGGUACGGACAAGGGGAAUAUGACGGUCUAAUUAAAACAUAGCAUUGCGAUGGUCAGAAAGUGAUGUUGACGCAAUGUGAUUUCUGCCCAGUGCUUUGAAUGUCAAAGAGAAGAAAUUCAACCAAGCGCGGGUAAUCGGCGGGAGUAACUAUGACUUUGUUAAGGUAGCCAAAUGCCUCGUCAUUUAAUUAGUGACGCGCAUGAAUGGAUUAACGAGAUUCCCACUGUCCCUAUGUACUAUCUAGCGAAACCACAGCCAAGGGAACGGGCUUGGCAGAAUCAGCGGGGAAAGAAGACCCUGUUGAGCUUGACUAUAGUUUGACAUUGUGAAGAGACAUAGAGGGUGUAGAAUAAGUGGGAGCUUCGGCGCCAGUGAAAUACCACUACCUUUAUAGUUUCUUUACUUAUUCAAUGAAGCGGAGCUGGAAUUCAUUUUCCACGUUAUAGCAUUCAAGGUCCCAUUCGGGGCUGAUCCGGGUAGAAGACAUUGUCAGGUGGGGAGUUUGGCUGGGGCGGCACAUAGGUUAAACGAUAACGCAGAUGUCAUAAGGGGGGCUCAUGGAGAACAGAAAUCUCCAGUAGAACAAAAGGGUAAAAGCCCCCUCGAUUUUGAUUUUCAGUGUGAAUACAAACCAUGAAAGUGUGGCCUAUCGAUCCUUUAGUCCCUUGGAAUUUGAGGCUAGAGGUGCCAGAAAAGUUACCACAGGGAUAACUGGCUUGUGGCAGUCAAGAAUUCAUAGCGACAUUGCUUUUUGAUUCUUCGAUGU